UGGAAACAGUGGCUAAGACUGGAUAGGAAGAUAAAAGGCAUCUUUUAUCUUUUAAAAGACCUAGUAAUAGGUAUGCUUUAGGAGGGGCUUGCGCCAUAUUAGUUAGUUGGUAGGGUAAUGGCCUACCAAGACGAUGAUGUGUAGCUGGACUGAGAGGUUGAACAGCCACAUUGGGACUGAGACACGGCCCAAACUCCUACGGGAGGCAGCAGUAGGGAAUUUUCGGCAAUGGAGGAAACUCUGACCGAGCAACGCCGCGUGAAUGACGAAGUACUUCGGUAUGUAAAGUUCUUUUAUCAAGGAAGAAAAGCAAAUGGCGAACCAUUUGUUUGCCGGUACUUGAUGAAUAAGCCCCGGCUAAUUAUGUGCCAGCAGCCGCGGUAAGACAUAAGGGGCAAGUGUUAUCCGGAAUUAUUGGGCGUAAAGGGUGCGUAGGCGGUCUAGUAAGUCAGUGGUGUAAUGGCAACGCUUAACGUUGUCCGGCUAUUGAAACUGCUAAACUUGAGUUAGAUAGAGGCGAGUGGAAUUCCAUGUGUAGCGGUAAAAUGCGUAAAUAUAUGGAGGAACACCAGAGGCGUAGGCGGCUCGCUGGGUCUUAACUGACGCUGAGGCACGAAAGCGUGGGGAGCAAACAGGAUUAGAUACCCUGGUAGUCCACGCCGUAAACGAUGAGUACUAAGUGUCGGGUUAAACCGGUACUGAAGUUAACACAUUAAGUACUCCGCCUGAGUAGUACGUACGCAAGUAUGAAACUUAAAGGAAUUGACGGGACUCCGCACAAGCGGUGGAUCAUGUUGUUUAAUUCGAAGAUACCCGAAAAACCUUACCAGGUCUUGACAUGUUUUUGCAAAAUGAUAGUAAUAUCGUGGAGGUUACCAGAAACACAGGUGGUGCAUGGUUGUCGUCAGCUCGUGUCGUGAGAUGUUAGGUUAAGUCCUAAAACGAGCGAAACCCUUAUCGUUAGUUGCCAGCACGUUAUGGUGGGGACUUUAACGAGACUGCCAAUGAUAAAUUGGAGGAAGGUGAGGAUCACGUCAAAUCAGCAUGCCCCUUAUGACCUGGGCUACAAACGUGAUACAAUGGCUGUUACAAAGGGUAGCUGAAACGCAAGUUCUUGGCCAAUCCCCAAAAACAGUCCCAGUCCGGAUUGAAGUCUGCAACUCGACUUCAUGAAGUUGGAAUCGCUAGUAAUCGCGAAUCAGCAUGUCGCGGUGAAUACGUUCUCGGGGUUUGUACACACCGCCCGUCA
This 1249-nucleotide ribosomal RNA is filed under the name Echinacea witches'-broom phytoplasma. RNAcentral describes it as "bacterial SSU rRNA". It matches the Rfam family "Bacterial small subunit ribosomal RNA", at positions 151 to 1399 of the family's 1533-position model. RNAcentral also lists the same sequence under 1 other name. Lineage: Bacteria; Bacillati; Mycoplasmatota; Mollicutes; Acholeplasmatales; Acholeplasmataceae. The record is from RNAcentral.